This 629-nucleotide ribosomal RNA is filed under the name uncultured Alphaproteobacteria bacterium. Its description in RNAcentral is "bacterial SSU rRNA". It matches the Rfam family "Bacterial small subunit ribosomal RNA", at positions 59 to 734 of the family's 1533-position model. Lineage: Bacteria; Pseudomonadati; Pseudomonadota; Alphaproteobacteria. The record is from RNAcentral.
AAGUCGAACGAGAUCUUCGGAUCUAGUGGCGCACGGGUGCGUAACGCGUGGGAAUCUGCCCUUGGGUUCGGAAUAACGUCGGGAAACUGACGCUAAUACCGGAUGAUGACGAAAGUCCAAAGAUUUAUCGCCCAGGGAUGAGCCCGCGUAGGAUUAGCUAGUUGGUGGGGUAAAGGCUCACCAAGGCUACGAUCCUUAGCUGGUCUGAGAGGAUGAUCAGCCACACUGGGACUGAGACACGGCCCAGACUCCUACGGGAGGCAGCAGUAGGGAAUAUUGGACAAUGGGGGCAACCCUGAUCCAGCAAUGCCGCGUGAGUGAUGAAGGCCUUAGGGUUGUAAAGCUCUUUUACCCGAGAUGAUAAUGACAGUAUCGGGAGAAUAAGCUCCGGCUAACUCCGUGCCAGCAGCCGCGGUAAUACGGAGGGAGCUAGCGUUGUUCGGAAUUACUGGGCGUAAAGCGCACGUAGGCGGCGAUUUAAGUCAGAGGUGAAAGCCCGGGGCUCAACCCCGGAACUGCCUUUGAGACUGGAUUGCUAGAAUCUUGGAGAGGCGGGUGGAAUUCCGAGUGUAGAGGUGAAAUUCGUAGAUAUUCGGAAGAACACCAGUGGCGAAGGCGGCCCGCUGGAC